Carya illinoinensis is the source of this 625-nucleotide long non-coding RNA. RefSeq lists it as uncharacterized. The transcript has 2 exons. NCBI's taxonomy places the organism in Eukaryota, Viridiplantae, Streptophyta, Magnoliopsida, Fagales, Juglandaceae. The record is from RefSeq and is a predicted model, not a curated record.
GUCACUCUUCCUGUCUUCCAGCCUUCUCUAUCUCGCCCGAGCUCUGCAUCUGCCCAUUUCAAACCCUAGCUCUCAUCUCUCUCUCUCUCUCUCUCAAGCCCAGACCGCAUCUCUCUCUGCUCAGACCUGUCUCUCUCUCACCUGAAACCCGUCUGGAAACGACCCACGCGGCACGCUCGAGAUAGCCAUUUCGUGUAAGGGUACUCAGAUAUUUCAUGCUCGGUUGAAGUCUAUUGUUAAGAAUCCAUUUUACUCCUUGGUCGAUGGAUGCUGUGAAGUACAAAACAUGUGCAUCACCGUGUAUUAAUCCAUUUUUUCUUUUGACAAGAAACUGAUAUGGGAUUGAGUUGUGGUUUCUGUGCAGUUCUGCCACAAGAUUGACAGAGGUUCUAUGUUAGCUCCAAUGGCCAGUGGCUGAUGGUAUAGGCAGCCUGCCUCCCUCGGAUUGAGUUUUGAAGCUGUGCGUCGAAUCUAAACACAAUAUUUUUUUUUUAAAUAGAAUUUAUUGUGUUUCUAAUUAGGGACUGAAAUCAGGCCAAUAAGCAAACUGAGGAUUUCCCAUAGCUUCUUCCCCCAAUAUUUCUUCAUAAAUAGAUUUAAUCUAAGGAUCUGAUUUUGUAAUUCA